GAUGAAGAACGCAGCGAAAUGCGAUACGUAAUGUGAAUUGCAGAAUUCAGUGAAUCAUCGAAUCUUUGAACGCAUAUUGCGCUCUCUGGUAUUCCGGAGAGCAUGCUUGUUUGAGUAUCAGUAAACACCUCAACUUCCAUAUCUUUUUUGAAAUGGGAGUUGGACUUGAGUGAUCCCAACGCUUUUCCUCACCGAAAAGCGGCGGGUUACUUGAAAUGCAGGUGCAGCUGGACUUUUCUCUGAGCUAUAAGCAUAUCUAUUUAGUCUGCCUAAAAAACAGAUUAUUACCUUUGCUGCAGCUAACAUAAAGGAGAUUAGUUCUUGUGCUGACUGAUGCAGGAUUCACAAAGACAGGCUUCGGCCGACUUUGUAAACUCGAUCUCAAAUCAAGUAAGACUACCCGCUGAACUUAAGCAUAUCAAUAAGCGGAGGA
This 433-nucleotide unclassified non-coding RNA is filed under the name soil metagenome. Its description in RNAcentral is "partial contains 5.8S ribosomal RNA, internal transcribed spacer 2, and large subunit ribosomal RNA". The stretch from base 1 to 120 matches the Rfam family "5.8S ribosomal RNA", at positions 35 to 154 of the family's 154-position model. The record is from RNAcentral.